UCUCAAGUAUAUAGAAUAUUUCGAGACUUGCUUACGUAAGAAUAUCUAUAUCAAUUCAGAUAAAUCAGUCACAUAACAAGUUGAAUACAAUAAAUAAUAAUGAAAAGGUAAACAUUGACUUUUGACAUCUAAGAAUGCAACGCUCCAAUCCAAUCCAAUCCAAUAUCUAAGAGAUUAAAUAGGGGUGAUUUAAUCCGAUCAUCUAAAUAUGCUUCCCC
Molecule: long non-coding RNA, 218 nt
Filed under: Gossypium barbadense (sea-island cotton)
Lineage: Eukaryota; Viridiplantae; Streptophyta; Magnoliopsida; Malvales; Malvaceae
Description: long non-coding RNA (GBAR_LNC019074)
Source: RNAcentral